This 405-nucleotide long non-coding RNA is filed under the name Daucus carota (carrot). Its description in RNAcentral is "long non-coding RNA (DCAR_LNC005858)". Lineage: Eukaryota; Viridiplantae; Streptophyta; Magnoliopsida; Apiales; Apiaceae. The record is from RNAcentral.
GUCUCAUUGCAGCUCUCGGUUAUCUAUCCCAUUGCACCCCGUUACCUCCUACACUAACCCAAGUCCAGGUACAAUUCUAAUCACUCUCAUCUUUCACAAUGUUCCUUAACGUUUAAUUGUAUCUUGUAUAAUCAAGAAAUCCCAUUUUGUGGCUUAGACUAGGAAUCUCCAAUCUUGUUUUUCAAUUAUGCUAUGAUCAAGGUGUAUCAGUCAUAUGAUUUGCUGAAUUUUGUUUGAGUCGAAGUUUGGUUUGAUAAUGUGUAUUUGAUUUCGACAAUUAUAAUUGAUCAUGGUUGUGCAAUCUCAAUUGCAACUGUAGGAACUUUAACAAUAUAUUUGAAAAUUAAGUUUGAAAACAUGUGUAUUCUUGCAAAUUUCCCUAUUCUUAAUUUGAAUAUGUAACUA